GAUGAGCGCUGGCGGCGUGCCUAAUACAUGCAAGUCGAGCGAACGGACGAGAAGCUUGCUUCUCUGAUGUUAGCGGCGGACGGGUGAGUAACACGUGGAUAACCUACCUAUAAGACUGGGAUAACUUCGGGAAACCGGAGCUAAUACCGGAUAAUAUUUUGAACCGCAUGGUUCAAAAGUGAAAGACGGUCUUGCUGUCACUUAUAGAUGGAUCCGCGCUGCAUUAGCUAGUUGGUAAGGUAACGGCUUACCAAGGCAACGAUGCAUAGCCGACCUGAGAGAGUGAUCGGCCACACUGGAACUGAGACACGGUCCAGACUCCUACGGGAGGCAGCAGUAGGGAAUCUUCCGCAAUGGGCGAAAGCCUGACGGAGCAACGCCGCGUGAGUGAUGAAGGUCUUCGGAUCGUAAAACUCUGUUAUUAGGGAAGAACAUAUGUGUAAGUAACUGUGCACAUCUUGACGGUACCUAAUCAGAAAGCCACGGCUAACUACGUG
This 497-nucleotide ribosomal RNA is filed under the name uncultured bacterium. RNAcentral's name for it is "partial 16S ribosomal RNA". It matches the Rfam family "Bacterial small subunit ribosomal RNA", at positions 28 to 507 of the family's 1533-position model. The record is from RNAcentral.